RNAcentral lists this ribosomal RNA (886 nucleotides) under Enterococcus faecium. RNAcentral's name for it is "partial 23S ribosomal RNA". It matches the Rfam family "Bacterial large subunit ribosomal RNA", at positions 341 to 1229 of the family's 2925-position model. Lineage: Bacteria; Bacillati; Bacillota; Bacilli; Lactobacillales; Enterococcaceae. The record is from RNAcentral.
CUUGGAAAAGUCAGUCAAAGAGGGUAAAAACCCCGUAGACGAAAUGUGGAAGACACCUAGGAGGAUCCUGAGUACGGCGGAACACGAGAAAUUCCGUCGGAAUCCGGGAGGACCAUCUCCCAAGGCUAAAUACUCCCUAGUGACCGAUAGUGAACCAGUACCGUGAGGGAAAGGUGAAAAGCACCCCGGAAGGGGAGUGAAAUAGAACCUGAAACCGUGUGCCUACAACAAGUCAAAGCCCGUUAAUGGGUGAUGGCGUGCCUUUUGUAGAAUGAACCGGCGAGUUACGAUUGCAUGCGAGGUUAAGUUGAAGAGACGGAGCCGCAGCGAAAGCGAGUCUGAAUAGGGCGUUUGAGUAUGUAGUCGUAGACCCGAAACCAUGUGAUCUACCCAUGUCCAGGUUGAAGGUGCGGUAAAACGCACUGGAGGACCGAACCCACGUACGUUGAAAAGUGCGGGGAUGAGGUGUGGGUAGCGGAGAAAUUCCAAACGAACUUGGAGAUAGCUGGUUCUCUCCGAAAUAGCUUUAGGGCUAGCCUCGGAAUUGAGAAUGAUGGAGGUAGAGCACUGUUUGGACUAGGGGCCCAUCUCGGGUUACCGAAUUCAGAUAAACUCCGAAUGCCAUUCAUUCAUAUCCGGGAGUCAGACUGUGAGUGAUAAGAUCCAUAGUCGAAAGGGAAACAGCCCAGACCACCAGCUAAGGUCCCAAAAUAUAUGUUAAGUGGAAAAGGAUGUGGGGUUGCACAGACAACUAGGAUGUUGGCUUAGAAGCAGCCACCAUUUAAAGAGUGCGUAAUAGCUCACUAGUCGAGUGACCCUGCGCCGAAAAUGUACCGGGGCUAAACAUAUUACCGAAGCUGUGGAGUACACCUUUAGGUGUAUUGGU